This 357-nucleotide long non-coding RNA is filed under the name Vigna radiata. RNAcentral describes it as "long non-coding RNA (VRAD_LNC016859)". Lineage: Eukaryota; Viridiplantae; Streptophyta; Magnoliopsida; Fabales; Fabaceae. The record is from RNAcentral.
UUAACUUACGGACCAAAAAAGAAUUUAAACCCAAGUUAUAAUUUUAAAGUGAGAAAUUAUUACUAUGUUAUAGUUGAUUAUUUCACUUUUGUAAUAUAGGAGGGUUAUAUGGUUGCAUUUUAUGGAUUAUUCCAAAAGGAAAGUGUUCAACAUUGUCUAAAUGUUUAUAUAUUUAUAAUUUGAGAGUAACUAACAAGAUUUGUAAGACCUCCCCUUUGGUGCGUUAAAGGGGGACGCAAGACGAUCUUAAUUACAUUUGAACUUCUAUAGAAAGAGUAUUUCUUUCGUACAUGCCUUUGACUUCUUUUCUUUUUUUAUUCUAAGUCGUCUUGAUAUACUUUUGCCAUUGAUGUAGUU